This is a long non-coding RNA of Trichechus manatus latirostris (Florida manatee), 234 nucleotides long. RefSeq lists it as uncharacterized. NCBI's taxonomy places the organism in Eukaryota, Metazoa, Chordata, Mammalia, Sirenia, Trichechidae. The record is from RefSeq and is a predicted model, not a curated record. The transcript has 3 exons.
GUGAGCCCCGCCGUGGCCCUGUCUCUCUCUCUACAUACCCUUGAAAGCCUGAGCACCCCACUCAUGCCUUCCUAUCUCUCCGGAGGCUACGGGCCAGGCCAGCGGGCAGGGCCUUCCCUGCUGUGACAGGAGCCCAGCCAGGAUACGGCAAUGGAAAUGCGCUGGGAGCCCGGCCAGCUGAGGCUGCCGGACCAGGCCCUGAGGCGCUGCAGCUCAGAACAGCUAUGGACCAGG